GCGUACUGGUUUGAUCGGGAUACUCAUCAAUUUACAUUUUAUUACCGAGAAAUGUUUCGUCUGCCAAUGGCGUGCCAUCCCAUUAUGGUUAGGUGGAUUACAAAGGCAGCGAACCCUCAAAACCUGUUUUUCGGAGUUUCAUCACAUCACCAGUGCGCCCCUUU
This 164-nucleotide small RNA is filed under the name bovine gut metagenome. RNAcentral's name for it is "Bacteroidales-1 6S-Bacteroidales RNA suggested". It matches the Rfam family "Bacteroidales-1 6S-Bacteroidales RNA suggested". The record is from RNAcentral.